AUUUUAAAAAUUAUUUUCUGAAGUAGGUAAUAUGUUAUGUAGUACAAAAUCCUAAAGGUAUAAAAGGGUAUAAAGUGAAAAGUAAGUCUUCCUUUUUUUCUCUUCUCACUCACUCAUUUUUUUUCCUAUCAAAGUAAUUACUGUUGACCUUUUUUUGUGAAUUCUUCUAGAGCUAUCCAUACAUUUAAUAUUCACACGCACGUACAUAAAUGGUAGCAUACUAUACACUCUGUUCUACAGGGUACAUUUUUUGUUAAUGUAUUUUAGUUUGUUUCAUCUCAUUACAGAUAGAGUGGUCUCACUCUUUUUGACUACUAGAUGUGCUGUAAUUUGUUUAGCCAGUCCCUUACUAAUAGAUUUUUAAAUUGUUUCCAGCCCAUUGUCAACAGGACUGCAGUGAAUAUUCUUGUACAUUAUUUUGUAUGUCUGUGAGCGUAUUUGCUAGAUAAAUAUUAAGAAUUGGAAUUGCUGGGUCAAAAGGAGAUGUAUCUUUUAGGUUUGUAGUGAAUCUCGUGGGCAUAUUCUUAUCUCAACAGAAGAAUCCUUGAUAUGACGAAGAGAAAAUGAAGUGGAGUGAUUAGGACAGAAAGGCAUUUGGCAAUGUCUGAAGAAAUCUUUGGAUGUCACAACUGAAAGAGGCCAGGGAUGCUACAAAACACCCUACAAUGCACAGGACAGUCUCCUACAACAAAGAAUUAUCCAGAAUGCCAAAGUUGGCCCUGGGCUAAACUAAUCUAUGCUGUUAGCGGUAAGAAUGAUGGUUCUCCUUGGGUGGAAAGGGGCAUGAUUGUGGCUCUGAGUGGCUGCUAAUGUUUUGUUCUUGAUUUUGGUGCUGGUUACAUGGGUGUGUUCAGUUUGUGGAAAAUUCAUUGAGCUGUACACUUAUAUUUGUGCACCUUUCUGUAGGUAUUCUAUACUUCAAUCAAAAAUUUACCAAAAAAUCAGACUUCACAUAAAAAUCCAGGAUGAAGACUUCUUUUGAAAGAUAUGACAGUCUGGUAACUCCCACAGCUGUAACUAAUAAGCAGCAGCCUCCCUUUAGUUGGGGCCUGUGUUCCCCAGGCCCCGUUUUCCUGUUUUGGUUACUUGUAUCACCUCACUGGUAUCCAGACAUUUAAAAAAUGCCCUAAACAGCUUGAGAUAUAAUUCACACACCAUACAGUUCACCUAUUUAAAGUGUACAAUUAAAUGUUUUUAGUAUAUUCACAGGGUUGUGUAGCCAUGUAGCCAUCACCACAAUCUAAUUUUAGAAUUUUUUUUUUUUUUUUUUUUUGUGAGGAAGAUCAGCCCUGAGGUAACAUCCAUGCCAAUCCUCCUCUUUUUUGGUGAGGAAGACCGGCCCUGAGCUAACAUAAUUUUAGAAUAUUUUCAUUCUCCCCAAAAUAAGCCCCAUACGUUUUAGUAGUCACUCCCUAUUCCCCCCUCCUCAGGCCUAGGCAACCACUAAUCUACUUUUUGUUUCUAUAUAAUUGUAGACAUUUGAAUUUUGUGA
This is a long non-coding RNA of Diceros bicornis minor, 1492 nucleotides long. RefSeq lists it as uncharacterized. NCBI's taxonomy places the organism in Eukaryota, Metazoa, Chordata, Mammalia, Perissodactyla, Rhinocerotidae. The transcript is spliced from 3 exons. The record is from RefSeq and is a predicted model, not a curated record.